Chrysoperla carnea is the source of this 178-nucleotide long non-coding RNA. RefSeq lists it as uncharacterized. The transcript is spliced from 2 exons. The record is from RefSeq and is a predicted model, not a curated record. Lineage: Eukaryota; Metazoa; Arthropoda; Insecta; Neuroptera; Chrysopidae.
UUUUUUUUUCAAUGACAACGUAACAGAAGUAUUUUCCUCGAAUUGUCUGCCUGAUUUACGUUUUGUAUUCAAUCUCCUAAAACAACAGUUUGAAAACCACGUAUUUUCGCUCCAAAUAUUUAAAAAAACAAAUUAUAAAAAAUGGAACCAAUGACACUUGGAAGUCCCGUUCAAAGUC